This 74-nucleotide transfer RNA is filed under the name Mucor irregularis B50. RNAcentral describes it as "tRNA-Val (CAC) (tRNA-Val-CAC-1-1)". It matches the Rfam family "tRNA". Rfam says of the family: Transfer RNA (tRNA) molecules are approximately 80 nucleotides in length. Lineage: Eukaryota; Fungi; Mucoromycota; Mucoromycetes; Mucorales; Mucoraceae. The record is from RNAcentral.
AGUGGUUUGGGGAAGUGGCUUAACCCAUCUCGCUCACACCGAGAAGAUCGUCGGUUCGAACCCGGCAAUCACUA